Molecule: long non-coding RNA, 1510 nt
Filed under: Salmo salar (Atlantic salmon)
Lineage: Eukaryota; Metazoa; Chordata; Actinopteri; Salmoniformes; Salmonidae
Description: lncRNA (ENSSSAG00000086760.1)
Source: RNAcentral
GGCUCUCAUGAGGACCGCCACAGGAAAGGAAGACCCAGAGCUACCGCUGCUGCAGAGGAUAAGUUCAUUAGAGUUACCAGCCUCAGAAAUUGCAGCCCAAAUAAAUGCUUCACAGAGUUCAAGUAACACAUGUCAACAUCAACUGUUCAGAGGAGACUAUGUGAAUCAGGCCUUCAUUGUCGAAUUGCUGCAAAGAAACCACUAAAAAGAAGAGAUUUGCUUGGGCCAAGAAACAUGCGCAAUGGACAUUAGACUGGUGGAAAUCUGUCCUUUGGUCUGAUGAUUUCCAAUUUGAGAUUUUUGGUUCCAACCGCUGUGUCUUUGUGAGACGCAGAGUAGGUGAAUGGAUGAGAUCUGCAUGUAUAGUUCCCAGCGUGAAGCAUGGAGGAGGUGGUGUGAUGGUUUGGGGGUGCUUUGCUGGUGACACUGUCAGUGAUUUACUUAAAACUCAAGGCACACUUAACCAGCAUGGCUACCACAGCAUUCUACAGCGAUACGCCAUCCCAUCUGGUUUGCGCUUGUUUUUCACCGUAGUUUGAUUUGUUGAACACUUUUUUUGGUUUCUACAUGAUUCCAUGUGUUAUUUCAUAGUUUGUAUGUCUUCACAAUGUAGAAAAUAGUAAAAAUAAAGAAAAACCCUUGAAUGAGUAGGUGUGUCCAAACUUUUGACUGGUACUGUAAAUUGUUUUUAUUAUAUGUAACAUUUUCUUCUUGUAAUAUUCCUCGUAAUUGAAUUAGUUGGUUGCCGGGAGUUAUUCCUGCUCAAAUCACAUAGUUAGGAUUAAAAACUCCUAGCCCCAUUUAAAACAGCCGACGUGUUUUUUUUACUCACCCAGUUGCCGCCAUCUUUAGUCGUUUGCACCUCCAUACAUUGGGACGGGUCUGACUUGAAACUAGAACAUUUACAGGUCUCUGGAAUCUUGCUAUCCCAGUCUCUGUAACUCAUUAUUCCACAACACUUACCCUGCAACAGCAAACACAGUUGUCAGUGAACACGAGGUAAGAAACAGUGAACACGAGGUGAGAAACAGUGAACACAAGGUGAGAAACAGUGAACACAAGAUGAACACGAGGUAAGAAAUAGUGAACACAAGGUGAGAAACAGUGAACACAAGGUGAGAAACAGUGAACACAAGGUGAGAAACAGUGAACACAAGGUGAGAAACAGUGAACACAAGGUGAGAAACAGUGAACACAAGGUGAGAAACAGUGAACACAAGAUGAACACGAGGUAAGAAAUAGUGAACACAAGGUGAGAAACAGUGAACACAAGGUGAGAAACAGUGAACACAAGAUGAGAAACAGUGAACACAAGGUGAGAAACAGUGAACACAAGGUGAGAAACAGUGAGAAAUUUACAUUGCUAGUCUUACAAAUUGAUCAUGACACAUUAAGACUUCUUUAUGAAUUGGGUUGCAAAAUUCUGGUAACUUUAAAAAAAUUCACAGGUUUUCCAGAAAUCCUGUCUGACAGAUUCCCAGAUUACGAAGGGAAUGAGCAUGAAAUCCAG